AGCAGAGCUCAGAGCAGACCAAACGCCAAUGCAGAAGGCUCAAGAAAGAGGCAAACAGACUAGCCACUGCUCCAGGAUGACUGUGGCUCUUUAUGAGUGAAGAGAAAGGGUGGAGACUGAAGACAGAACUGGGGACAGUGACAGGCUUGGGGAAGAACAGCUGAUUCAGCAGUCCCAAGCAUCUGAACACAAGGUGGACAUUCUCCAGGGUGACAUCGCAAAAUACAUGGGUGAAGACAACCUAGUGGCCGUGACUUGGAGCACCCUUCCUCACAAUGAAGGCAUUCUGGGCCAGCCUGAAAAACAGCAUGGAAAUAAAUCACCUAAGUACAAGGGACUGGCUUAAAAAUGGUCUAAUGAAAUGUCAAAAGAGUUCUCCUGUGGAGCUUCGGAGAAGUUUCCUUACCCUUUAAAAAAAGAAAAGAAGAAAAGGAAAAGGUGAUGAUGAUGACACACAGAAGGCAUACACAUUUCCAUUUCUCCCUUUGGAAACUUUCAUGUCUGGGUUGAGAAGUUAACAGAAAGGCAAACAGCCUGAGGUCAAAGAUGACACACUGAGGAUAACAAAAUGGAAAGACAAUCUGAGCUCUUGAUGAUGUGUGACUGAAUGAGCCAAAUUAAACAACUAUAGAGCUGUUCUACUUCCAAUCUAAUUAUGUGAGGGAUAAAUGUUAAUGCGCUUUUUCUUUAGGUUUUCAUUUAGAUUUUGUAGUUUCUACGGUACAAAUCUUAUAUUCUUUUAUUGAAUUUCUUAAACAAAAUGUUCUUUUCAGACUAUAUAAGUGGAAUUGUUUUCUUAAUUUCAUUUUCAGAUUGUUUGUUUCCAGUGUACAGAAAUU
This 839-nucleotide long non-coding RNA is filed under the name Homo sapiens (human). Its description in RNAcentral is "HSALNT0319509". The record is from RNAcentral. Lineage: Eukaryota; Metazoa; Chordata; Mammalia; Primates; Hominidae.